AGCGAACGCUGGCGGCAGGCUUAACACAUGCAAGUCGAACGGUCCUUCGGGAUAGUGGCGGACGGGUGAGUAACACGUGGGAACGUACCCUUAGGUCCGGAACAACACAGGGAAACUUGUGCUAAUACCGGAUAAGCCCUUCGGGGGAAAGAUUUAUCGCCUUUGGAGCGGCCCGCGUCUGAUUAGCUUGUUGGUGAGGUAAUGGCUCACCAAGGCUACGAUCAGUAGCUGGUCUGAGAGGAUGGCCAGCCACACUGGGACUGAGACACGGCCCAGACUCCUACGGGGGGCAGCAGUGGGGAAUCUUGCGCAAUGGGCGAAAGCCUGACGCAGCCAUGCCGCGUGGAUGAUGAAGGUCUUAGGGUUGUAAAAUCCUUUCACCGGGGACGAUAAUGACGGUACCCGGAGAAGAAGCCCCGGCUAACUUCGUGCCAGCCGCCGCCGUAA
RNAcentral lists this ribosomal RNA (447 nucleotides) under uncultured bacterium. RNAcentral describes it as "partial 16S ribosomal RNA". It matches the Rfam family "Bacterial small subunit ribosomal RNA", at positions 29 to 523 of the family's 1533-position model. The record is from RNAcentral.